Long non-coding RNA from Mastomys coucha (southern multimammate mouse), 896 nucleotides. RefSeq lists it as uncharacterized. Lineage: Eukaryota; Metazoa; Chordata; Mammalia; Rodentia; Muridae. The transcript has 3 exons. The record is from RefSeq and is a predicted model, not a curated record.
CCAGAUACUGUGGCUGACUUUGGUCGACAGUUGUUAUACAGGUUUUUUGCACCUGCCAUUUCUCUGAUUUUAUAUACAUGUGGAUUCUUGGCAGUCCCUCGGCAGUCAGUUUAGGCAGUCAGUUUAGGGCUUCUCAACCUGGCCUCUCUAGGUCUCUCUGGGUAUUUGUGAAGUCCUCGCAGCUCCUUGCAGAAUCACACAUAUAUGAGGAAGGUCAGCCAGAACAAAGGGAUAAAAAGGAAUGCAGCUGGAAAUGGUAAUAUAUAUGUAUAAUCACAGCACUGGGGAAACUGAGGCAGGAGGAUUGUUCUGAGUUUGAGGUCAGCCUGAGUUAUAAUGUGCUCUAGGCCUCUUGAGCUGCAGAAUAAGAUCUUGUCUCAAAAUGAACAACAAAACAACAAUGAGUAAAAACCAAAACAAAAUGGUAAGAACUGCCACCAAAGGUGUCCCCAGCUAGGGAGGAAUGAAAGGGACUUUGUAAGAUUAAAAUAUAAAGGUUUAACCUUAACACAGCGAUCUCCAUCAUAUCUAAUACAGGGACCACAGCACUCAUACACACACACACACACACACACACACACACACACACACACACCCCGCUCCUCAGGGCUUCAGAGCAGCGUCUAGGACUGAGCCCAGGGUGGCCGAGAGGCCUAAGUCUGUCUGAUGGAUCCUGGCUAAGGAAACAUUGAGCGAGCAGGUUUACCAGGAAGCUGAUGGACACUUUCUGCCAGUUUCUUUGUGUAGCUCUGGCUAUCCUGGAACUCACUCUGUAGACCAAGCAGAACUCCAACUCACAGAGAUCGGCCUGUGAGCACUGGGAUUAAAGAAGCGCACCAUCGUCACCCAGGCCAACAUCUAUUUCCUAAUAAUAAAUACUAAAAUCCAACCACAAA